This is a non-coding RNA of Ilex paraguariensis (yerba mate), 72 nucleotides long. Lineage: Eukaryota; Viridiplantae; Streptophyta; Magnoliopsida; Aquifoliales; Aquifoliaceae. The record is from the annotation of a GenBank genome assembly.
AGGUGUUUGGUCUAGUGGUAUGGUUCUUGCUUCGGGUGCGAGACGCCGUAAACUUGAUUCUCACAACACCCU